This 259-nucleotide ribosomal RNA is filed under the name uncultured prokaryote. RNAcentral describes it as "partial 16S ribosomal RNA". It matches the Rfam family "Bacterial small subunit ribosomal RNA", at positions 524 to 782 of the family's 1533-position model. The record is from RNAcentral.
UACGUAGGUGGCGAGCGUUAUCCGGAUUUACUGGGUGUAAAGAGCGUGUAGGCGGGUUUGCAAGUCGGGUGUGAAAGAUCCAGGCUUAACUUGGAGAGGUCAUCCGAAACUGCAGAUCUUGAGUGCUGGAGAGGAUAGUGGAAUUCCUGGUGUAGCGGUAAAAUGCGUAGAUAUCAGGAGGAACACCAGUGGCGAAGGCGGCUAUCUGGACAGUAACUGACGCUGAGGCGCGAAAGCGUGGGGAGCAAACAGGAUUAGA